GUCACCCUAUGGGGGGCAGCAGUGAGGGAUAUUGGUCAAUGGGGGAAACCCUGAACCAGCAACGCCGCGUGAGGGAAGACGGUUUUCGGAUUGUAAACCUCUGUCCUCUGUGAAGAUAAUGACGGUAGCAGAAGAGGAAGCUCCGGCUAACUACGUGCCAGCAGCCACGGUAAUACGUAGGGAGCGAGCGUUGUCCGGAUUUACUGGGUGUAAAGGGUGCGUAGGCGGCCCUGCAAGUCAG
RNAcentral lists this ribosomal RNA (241 nucleotides) under uncultured bacterium. RNAcentral describes it as "partial 16S ribosomal RNA". It matches the Rfam family "Bacterial small subunit ribosomal RNA", at positions 333 to 591 of the family's 1533-position model. The record is from RNAcentral.